GAGACGACACAAAUCUAAAACUCUCUCCAUCAUGUCAGCUCUCAGUCACUGGUUCUGAACUGAUCAGGUGGACAGGACGAAGUUCUCCUGGAACACUUCAUAUUACUUGUUACUACGUUGUGGAUAACUCUGUUUGUACUCCUUCUCCUCACUCUCUCCCAGCUCCAGUCACAGUGCUGAAUCAGAAACCGAGACUAAGCGUCAGUCAUGAUGGUCAGUUUGAUGUAUUCAGAUUUGUGUGUGAAAUAUCAGGGUCAGAGUCAGUAACUGCUGAUUUUAGCUGUAAUCUCUACACUGGAGAAAAUCCUCAGUUUUUCCUAAACCAAAGAUCUCUAAAGGGAAACUCUGUGAAGGUUUGUAGUUUUACAGCACAGAGAGACGCUGUGUUUAAUCGUCUGCAGUCAGUAAAGAGUCGUGAAGUGAGCUGUGAUUAUUCACUGAUCUCUGACCCGACUGCUCGCUCUCUAAUGAGUGAUAAAUACAACAUGAUGCAUGUCUUUACAACAACAAUAACAACAACGACUCAGACAUCCACUCCUGAAGAGAAACCCAGUGCAGGAACAACAGCAACAACAACAACAGCAACAACAACAAUAACAACAACAACAAUAAAGAGUGAUAAAUACAACAUGACACGUUUCUUUCCUACACCAACACAGCCGUCCAUCACUACUGAGAAAUCCACUGC
Molecule: long non-coding RNA, 688 nt
Organism: Ictalurus punctatus (channel catfish)
Lineage: Eukaryota; Metazoa; Chordata; Actinopteri; Siluriformes; Ictaluridae
Source: Ensembl